AACGAACGCUGGCGGCAGGCCUAACACAUGCAAGUCGAGCGGCACCUUCGGGUGUAGCGGCGGACGGGUUAGUAACGCGUGGGAACGUGCCCUUUUCUACGGAAUAGCCUCGGGAAACUGAGAGUAAUACCGUAUACGCCCUUUGGGGGAAAGAUUUAUCGGAGAAGGAUCGGCCCGCGUCUGAUUAGGUAGUUGGUGGGGUAAUGGCCUACCAAGCCUACGAUCAGUAGCUGGUUUUAGAGGAUGAUCAGCAACACUGGGACUGAGACACGGCCCAGACUCCUACGGGAGGCAGCAGUGGGGAAUCUUAGACAAUGGGCGCAAGCCUGAUCUAGCCAUGCCGCGUGAGUGAUGAAGGCCUUAGGGUCGUAAAGCUCUUUCGCCAGAGAUGAUAAUGACAGUAUCUGGUAAAGAAACCCCGGCUAACUCCGUGCCAGCCGCCGCCGUAAAAC
This 452-nucleotide ribosomal RNA is filed under the name uncultured bacterium. RNAcentral describes it as "bacterial SSU rRNA". It matches the Rfam family "Bacterial small subunit ribosomal RNA", at positions 29 to 526 of the family's 1533-position model. The record is from RNAcentral.